GGUAACACUGUGGCAGAAGCGGCGGUAAUGUAGAGGGGGCGGGGUGUAAGCUGAAUUGAUGGGCGUAAAGCGGGCGUAGACGGUGUCGUAAGUCGGGUGUGAAAGCCCCUGGCUCAACCGGGGAAUUGCAUUCGAGACUGCGGGGCUAGGGUGCGGAAGAGGGAAGCGGAAUUUCCGGUGUAGCGGUUAAAUGCGUAGAUAUCGGAAGGAACAUCAGUGGCGAAAGCGGCUUCCUGGUCCAGCACCGACGUUCAGGCACGAAAGCGUGGGGAGCAAACAGGAUUAGAUACCCGGGUAGUC
RNAcentral lists this ribosomal RNA (300 nucleotides) under uncultured Lactobacillus sp. RNAcentral's name for it is "bacterial SSU rRNA". It matches the Rfam family "Bacterial small subunit ribosomal RNA", at positions 496 to 795 of the family's 1533-position model. The record is from RNAcentral. Lineage: Bacteria; Bacillati; Bacillota; Bacilli; Lactobacillales; Lactobacillaceae.